CGCAAAUCACUUUCCCCUCCUCAUCACGCGACGCCGCCUUCUCCUCUCGAGCGAAACCGCAGCCAAGGCUAGGGUUCCUCCCCUCCGGCGUCGGCGACGUGUUUUUCCGACCGGUCUCCACUCGUGGGUGACUAUUCCGGCAAGGAGAGCUCGAGAAAUACAAGGAAAAAGGUGGAAUCGAAGCUCCACCGAAACCCUAGGGCGCUCCUCGUGUUGUAAGUCCAAGAACCACCGCGAUAUAGAUAAAAAUAAAGGAAAAGCUAAAGUGGCAUAGAAGAAGGCGACAAGGAGACGUUGAUGGUGUGUGUGUGGUGGCUGUUUAUGGAAGUAUGGGAUCUUGCUAGAAGAGUUUGGAGAUGUUACUUGCUAGUGCUCGUUUGAUUUCUGCCAUAGUAGAACUAUAUUGCCAUGUUAAAAAAAUUGUUAGAUGCUAGUAUGCUAUAUAAGUUUGCUUUAAUGGAACUGUCACAUGAUUUACUUCUGCUGUAGUGAAAUUUGUUUUCAAUUGCAAUGAGUAGGAUAUAUGACUAGCUAGCGAAUUCCUAUGCUUA
Long non-coding RNA from Zingiber officinale, 551 nucleotides. RefSeq lists it as uncharacterized. Lineage: Eukaryota; Viridiplantae; Streptophyta; Magnoliopsida; Zingiberales; Zingiberaceae. The transcript is spliced from 2 exons. The record is from RefSeq and is a predicted model, not a curated record.